UCAAGGUGUAGGUGGUAAAAUGGCGCACGGUGCAGGCUCUCAAAUGGUCCCGGUUGUGAGAAGAAAAAGAACAUUGGAAAGCAGUCCAGAUUUCUCUCGCACCAACU
Carassius auratus (goldfish) is the source of this 107-nucleotide long non-coding RNA. RefSeq lists it as uncharacterized. NCBI's taxonomy places the organism in Eukaryota, Metazoa, Chordata, Actinopteri, Cypriniformes, Cyprinidae. The record is from RefSeq and is a predicted model, not a curated record. The transcript is spliced from 3 exons.